AGAGGCCUUUUAAAUAAACCGAUUAUAUAAUGAUGUAAAGUACAUGCCAUUUCAAAGAACAGGCUAUGGCAUCAGAGAGAAUUUAGCAAGCCGAAGAGUUUUCACUUUUCAGAUUUGAAUGUAACCUAGCCGGAACACGAUAUUAACUGGCAGGUUAUGCAGAGAAUGGGAGUGCCUCAAACCUUUUCAAAGCUGGACUACAGGAGAGAUUGACAGGAAAAUGUCUUCAGAGCAAACGCACGCCAGAUGGAAUGAAAACGGUUUAUUGUAGUAUGGAGAUGCUACUGAACCGAAUAGAGGGCGGGUUUAAGUAACCAAGAUUACUGUAUUUGACACUGACACCCCAAUGUGACAGCAGAAGUCUACUUUUGGUUUAUAAGC
This 381-nucleotide long non-coding RNA is filed under the name Pogona vitticeps (central bearded dragon). RNAcentral's name for it is "lncRNA (ENSPVIG00000018760.1)". Lineage: Eukaryota; Metazoa; Chordata; Lepidosauria; Squamata; Agamidae. The record is from RNAcentral.